Pelodiscus sinensis (Chinese soft-shelled turtle) is the source of this 220-nucleotide non-coding RNA. The record is from RefSeq and is a predicted model, not a curated record. NCBI's taxonomy places the organism in Eukaryota, Metazoa, Chordata, Testudines, Trionychidae.
UCCUGCAGAAAACCUCUUCUGAUCUCCGUUAGUUUAAAAAAAGAGAGAGGAGGGUUGAGAGGCCGAUCAGAGGGCAUGACCUUCCCCGUCUCCACCUCUCUGCUCUUUUUAGCUUGUGUUAUAGGUCAUCUGCCUUCCUGGUGCCCGCUUCUUCCCCGGGUGGCUUUCCUUCACGUCUGGUUCUCCCCCAGCGUCAGACACGCCGCCAGCGGCCAGGGCU